This 151-nucleotide ribosomal RNA is filed under the name uncultured bacterium. RNAcentral describes it as "partial 16S ribosomal RNA". It matches the Rfam family "Bacterial small subunit ribosomal RNA", at positions 381 to 524 of the family's 1533-position model. The record is from RNAcentral.
GCCUGAUGCAGCCAUGCCGCGUGUGUGAAGAAGGCCUGCGGGUUGUAAAGCUCUUUCGUCAGCCAAGAAAAGGACUCGUCUAUUAAACGGAUGCUCUGACUUUUACUGAAUAACAACCACCGGCUAAUUCCGUGCCAGCAGCCGCGGUAAU